This 550-nucleotide ribosomal RNA is filed under the name uncultured diatom. Its description in RNAcentral is "SSU rRNA". It matches the Rfam family "Eukaryotic small subunit ribosomal RNA", at positions 503 to 1054 of the family's 1831-position model. The record is from RNAcentral. Lineage: Eukaryota; Bacillariophyta.
UGGCAAUUGGAAUGAGAACGAUGUAAACACCCUAUCGAGGACCAAUUGGAGGGCAAGUCUGGUGCCAGCAGCCGCGGUAAUUCCAGCUCCAAUAGCGUAUAUUAAAGUUGUUGCAGUUAAAAAGCUCGUAGUUGAAUUUCUGGCAAGAGCAACCGGUCCUUCACGUGGUGUUGGUACUUGUGUUGUCUCUGGCCAUCCUUGGGGAGAGCCUGUGUGGCAUUAAGUUGUCGGGCGGGGGAUUCCCAUCGUUUACUGUGAAGAAAUUAGAGUGUUCAAAGCAGGCUUAUGCCGCUGAAUACAUUAGCAUGGAAUAAUAAGAUAGGACCUUGGUACUAUUUUGUUGGUUUGCGCAUCAAGGUAAUGAUUAAUAGGGACAGUUGGGGGUAUUCGUAUUCAAUUGUCAGAGGUGAAAUUCUUGGAUUUCUGGAAGACGAACUACUGCGAAAGCAUUUACCAAGGAUGUUUUCAUUAAUCAAGAACGAAAGUUGGGGGAUCGAAGAUGAUUAGAUACCGUCGUAGUCUAUACCAUAAACUAUGCCAACUAGAGAUU